ACGGAGGGGGCUAGCGUUGUUCGGAAUUACUGGGCGUAAAGCGCACGUAGGCGGCUUUGCAAGUUAGAGGUGAAAGCCCGGGGCUCAACCCCGGAAUUGCCUUUAAAACUGCAUCGCUAGAGUUGUGGAGAGGUAAGUGGAAUUCCGAGUGUAGAGGUGAAAUUCGUAGAUAUCGGGAGGAACACCAGUGGCGAAGGCGGCGAUCUGGGAAGAUACUGACGCUGAGGUGCGAAAGCGUGGGGAGCAAACAGGA
This 253-nucleotide ribosomal RNA is filed under the name uncultured prokaryote. RNAcentral's name for it is "partial 16S ribosomal RNA". It matches the Rfam family "Bacterial small subunit ribosomal RNA", at positions 525 to 777 of the family's 1533-position model. The record is from RNAcentral.